This is a long non-coding RNA of Heterocephalus glaber (naked mole-rat), 708 nucleotides long. The record is from Ensembl. Lineage: Eukaryota; Metazoa; Chordata; Mammalia; Rodentia; Bathyergidae.
UGGAACUCAAGGAGUGGCUGAAGAAUCAGUGGAUAUUUUUAUAACCCACAUCCUGGCUUUCCAAAUCAGAAUCAUCCACUCAAGGAUGAAUGUUUUUAUUUACAUUGUUCCUUCUGUUUGGCUGAGUCAUCCAGCUAGAUUAGAACCUCUGCUUCUGCCUUCAGAGUGGUCCUGGGUGUUACUUGAUCAGCAUCAAACUUCUCCUCUGGACUUGUAAUGAUAGUAACUGGCAUUCAUUGAUUGCUAAUCAGUUUCUUACAGGUGCAGGGAUGCAUUUGAGCCAGAACUCUGAGUGAUCCCUGUGCUUCUGUAGCUGGUCCCUCUGUCUGCGAGCUGGGUCAUGCCGAAUGCCAGCCAUGGUCUCACACAUCUGUCUCCUCACUAGACAGCAAGUGCUGCUACAAGGAAGGCUUCUUGUCCAAGUCCUCUGAAAAUGCACAUAGUACAUUUUUUGGACCUGCACAGAAGAACCUGCAGAAUUGUUAUACUCAGGAAGUGGGGAGCAACUCAUUCUACGGCUUUCUGCUCCAGGACUACCCUCGACAUUCAGAAUAAAUGCCACUUUUGCUUAAUUCUUAAACAGAUGGCCGUGAGGGAACAGUUUGCUACACCACUGGCUCCUGCCGGAGACCACAAGCAAUGGAUCCACCCCAACCUGGACUGGAUCCUCAAAAGCUGUGGACAAAAUAAACAUUCUUUCUUUAUUGA